Molecule: long non-coding RNA, 1866 nt
Organism: Paramacrobiotus metropolitanus
Lineage: Eukaryota; Metazoa; Tardigrada; Eutardigrada; Parachela; Macrobiotidae
Exons: 5
Source: RefSeq, a predicted model, not a curated record
AUCCGGUUAAGUACUUUGUAUAACGUUCGGUAUUGAGCGAUGCGAUGGCUGAGGUAAUGUAAGUUACUGUUGAUUCUGACAGGAGAGCAUCUGCAUCACUGCAGCGAGAAUUCAAGCCGAUGCUACCACAUCCCGUCAAACAGCGGUUACUGCGCGCAGUAAUCUGCGGCUGCCGCCCGUGCUGUUGGUGGAGAUCUUCCGGUCGCUGGACUCCAUCGGGCGAUGGCGCUGUCGACGCGUCUGUCCACUGUGGAACGCUCUUCUCACCACGGAUGCCUACUUCCCCGAGGUCCGCGUGACCGGCAAGGGCGCGAAUUAUGGGGUGAAAUUUCCCAAUCGGGAUAUGUACUGGGUGGCGGCGUGCCUGCUGAAAUGCCUCAGCAGCGCCACUAAGUUUGUGGUGGUGCACAAACUGCAGCUGUACGACGCUCGGCAACUCUCCGCACCGAUCAACCACAUCCUUAAACCGGGACGCCUGCCGGUGCUGGUGUUCGACGACUGCGACGUCGGCGGACGGACGGAUCGUAUCCAGGAGGUGAUCAGCCGAACGGCUGAUCUAGUCGUGCAGUGUGACUGCGACAGAGUGGUGUGGAAAAACUGCCGGCUCGCUAGAUGACAAUUUGACGGCGCUCGUGUCACAUCACUCACUCAACGUCCAGUCGCGUCAGCAGAUGGAGCAACAGCUGUGGGAUGUGUUCGAGAGGAAUCUAGUGCUGGAGAAGCCGCUGGAUCGUCAGCCCGUUGAGGAUUGGAUUGCGGAAUACAUUCCACGAAUGGUGAAUGGUCAGGGUGAUUCGGAAGGCGAUCAAAUGAUUUUGAAGGCGCUGAACCAGUACCAAGAGUGCCGAUCCUCGUGAUUCCACGCGCUGCCGCCACAGGGAGUGGACGGCCUCUAAUAUUGUCGAUGUGGAUGUCCGUCAGCUGAAUACACUGACGGUGGCGUUUGUAGAUAAACACCAUCAGCCGGUGAUUUUGAGCUAGCUGUUCAGCCAAUAGCCAGCUUGGCGAGUAAUUUUGUCUGUGCAACAGUUGCAAGCCGCCUGUAUGCUGCCGGUGUCAUAGUUAGCCGGACGUGCGAGUGUAUGCGACGACCUAGCAUCAGCGCACGUCUCCAGAAACCCAAGAAAUCUAAGACACAGUCACUUCCCGGAUACGCUGAUAGUCUCCCAUCGAUCGUCGUAGAUUACGCAAAUGUACGGACUGGUGGUGGACCACGAUCACAUCCGGGAUCAGCAUCCUAACGGGAUAGCUCCGAGAGGAGGCCUCUUUCCUUUUGCAGUUUGGGCAGUGAAUCCCAAAUCGGCUAUCCCGCUGCCAAGGAGGCCGCGUUCUACACUCAGCGCGGCCAUCCGCCGGGUGGUUGGUAUCCGUCCAGCCUGGUUUUCCGCAUCACGUAUACGACGCCGACACCGGCCUAGGGGCAUUUCACACGCUGGACAUCCAGCACAUCUUCGGCAAUCCGUCGCCCUUUGGCGUACAACUGAACCCGGCGAUGACCAACAGUAUGAGGCAGAUGCUGCGGCAAAUGGCUAACAACGGGCGGAUGGCGGGCGCGGACUUCAGCCAGGGCGGCCGCUACAUGGAGCUGAACCAGGCGGCGCAGUGGCAGUUCGGGACGCACAACAUGGUCGAGAUGAUCCGCUUCUGGGAUGAGGUGGCCAAUACGCCCUGUCUCGCCACCAACACCAGCCAACUCAACCGGUCGUCUGCAGCGUAGUGAAACAUCUUAACGCGAAAAGCACAAUGCGCUGUGUAUUGUCACAAUACAUAGAGAAUCCGUAUCCCAAACUUCUAAGAAGUUUUACGUAGUAUUGCAAGUUACAGUACUUUACUUGGACUUUGAGGAUGGUUAAUACGAGCUAAUAA